GACGAACGCUGGCGGCGUGCUUAACACAUGCAAGUCGAACGGAAAGGCCCUGCUUUUGUGGGGUGCUCGAGUGGCGAACGGGUGAGUAACACGUGAGUAACCUGCCCUUGACUUUGGGAUAACUUCAGGAAACUGGGGCUAAUACCGGAUAGGAGCUCCUGCUGCAUGGUGGGGGUUGGAAAGUUUCGGCGGUUGGGGAUGGACUCGCGGCUUAUCAGCUUGUUGGUGGGGUAGUGGCUUACCAAGGCUUUGACGGGUAGCCGGCCUGGGAGGGUGACCGGCAACAUGGGGACUGAGAUACGGCCCAGACUCCUACGGGAGGCAGCAGGGGGGAAUAUUGCACAAUGGGCGGAAGCCUGAUGCAGCAACGCCGCGUGCGGGAUGACGGCCUUCGGGUUGUAAACCGCUUUCGCCUGUGACGAAGCGUGAGUGACGGUAAUGGGUAAAGAAGCACCGGCUAACUACGUG
RNAcentral lists this ribosomal RNA (468 nucleotides) under uncultured bacterium. RNAcentral describes it as "partial 16S ribosomal RNA". It matches the Rfam family "Bacterial small subunit ribosomal RNA", at positions 28 to 507 of the family's 1533-position model. The record is from RNAcentral.